This 468-nucleotide ribosomal RNA is filed under the name uncultured bacterium. RNAcentral describes it as "partial 16S ribosomal RNA". It matches the Rfam family "Bacterial small subunit ribosomal RNA", at positions 28 to 507 of the family's 1533-position model. The record is from RNAcentral.
GACGAACGCUGGCGGCGUGCUUAACACAUGCAAGUCGAACGGAAAGGCCCUGCUUUUGUGGGGUGCUCGAGUGGCGAACGGAUGAGUAACACGAGAGUAACCUGCCCUUGACUUUGGGAUAACUUCAGGAAACUAGGGCUAAUACCGGAUCGGUGCUCCCGCGGCAUGGGGGGGGUUGGAAAGUUUCGGCGGGUGGGGAUGGCCUCGCGGCUUAUCAGCUUGUUGGUGGGGUAGUGGCUUACCAAGGCUUUGACGGGUAGCCGGCCUGAGAGGGUGACCGGCCACAUUGGGACUGAGAUACGGCCCAGACUCCUACGGGAGGCAGCAGUGGGGAAUAUUGCACAAUGGGCGGAAGCCUGAUGCAGCAACGCCGCGUGCGGGAUGACGGCCUUCGGGUUGUAAACCGCUUUCGCCUGUGACGAAGCGUGAGUGACGGUAAUGGGUAAAGAAGCACCGGCUAACUACGUG